GACGCGCGGCAUCGUGUGCCCCGCCCCAAGCCAGGCCCAAUAGUAUUAAGCGCAAAACGGGUGCAGUAACACGUGGGCAAUCUGCCCUUCACUCUGGGACAAGCCCUGGAAACGGGGUCUAAUACCGGAUAACACUCUGUCCUGCAUGGGACGGGGUUAAAAGCUCCGGCGGUGAAGGAUGAGCCCGCGGCCUAUCAGCUUGUUGGUGGGGUAAUGGCCUACCAAGGCGACGACGGGUAGCCGGCCUGAGAGGGCGACCGGCCACACUGGGACUGAGACACGGCCCAGACUCCUACGGGAGGCAGCAGUGGGGAAUAUUGCACAAUGGGCGAAAGCCUGAUGCAGCGACGCCGCGUGAGGGAUGACGGCCUUCGGGUUGUAAACCUCUUUCAGCAGGGAAGAAGCGCAAGUGACGGUACCUGCAGAAGAAGCACCGGCUAACUACGUGCCAGCAGCCGCGGUAAUACGUAGGGUGCGAGCGUUGUCCGGAAUUAUUGGGCGUAAAGAGCUCGUAGGCGGCUUGUCACGUCGGAUGUGAAAGCUCGGGGCUUAACCCCGAGUCUGCAUUCGAUACGGGCUAGCUAGAGUGU
Molecule: ribosomal RNA, 590 nt
Filed under: Streptomyces sp. ZS22-3
Lineage: Bacteria; Bacillati; Actinomycetota; Actinomycetes; Kitasatosporales; Streptomycetaceae
Description: bacterial SSU rRNA
Rfam family: Bacterial small subunit ribosomal RNA
Source: RNAcentral